RNAcentral lists this ribosomal RNA (491 nucleotides) under uncultured bacterium. RNAcentral describes it as "partial 16S ribosomal RNA". It matches the Rfam family "Bacterial small subunit ribosomal RNA", at positions 29 to 507 of the family's 1533-position model. The record is from RNAcentral.
GUGAACGCUGGCGGUAGGCCUAACACAUGCCAGUCGCACGGCAGCACAGUAAGAGCUUGCUCUUACGGGUGGCGAGUGGCGGACGGGUGAGGAAUACAUCGGAAUCUACUUUUUCGUGGGGGAUAACGUAGGGAAACUUACGCUAAUACCGCAUACGACCUACGGGUGAAAGCAGGGGAUCUUCGGACCUUGCGCGAUUGAAUGAGCCGAUGUCGGAUUAGCUAGUUGGCGGGGUAAAGGCCCACCAAGGCGACGAUCCGUAGCUGGUCUGAGAGGAUGAUCAGCCACACUGGAACUGAGACACGGUCCAGACUCCUACGGGAGGCAGCAGUGGGGAAUAUUGGACAAAGGGCGCAAGCCUGAUCCAGCCAUACCGCGUGGGUGAAGAAGGCCUUCGGGUUGUAAAGCCCUUUUGUUGGGAAAGAAAAGCAGCAGGUUAAUACCCCGCUGUUCUGACGGUACCCAAAGAAUAAGCACCGGCUAACUUCGUG